CUGUGUUGGUGGCUGCCAGUUUCACCUCCUGACCACCUGUCCAAGAGUCUCAGAGUCCACGAAACAGCAACAGGAACGUGAACCUCGAGAGACAACACUGUACAGACAACGAAAUGUGUUUUAUGCCAGAUUUCUCAUGCAACAUGCCCCGGUAAAUACACAUACAAGUUAUUUCUAGCAACAUCCUGAAAUUAGACCCUUAAAAUGGCUCUUUCUCCCUUCCUUUCAUAAAGGCACUUGUUAUGGACAGAAUUGUGUUCCUAUAAAAUUUAUAUGUUGAAGCCCUGACUGACUUGGAGACAGAGCCUUUACAGUGAUAAUUAAGAUUAAAUGAGGUCAUCAGGAUGAGGCUCGAAUCCAUUAGGACUAGUGUCUUUAUAAGAGGAGAAAGACAUGAGAAACCACCAAAGGCUACUCAGCUGCAUGCAGGCAGAACGUGAAAAGUAUGAUGGCGUUAACUUCCCUGAGAGCAAACCUCAUCUCAACCACUCUGGCCUCCCAUUCCCCCAGUGGAACAGUGCUGAGAUGAGUUCCAUGUGGUUUCAUAGCAGGCCCCUGGUACAUUGAGCCCUUGUUGCCUACAGUGGUAAACAACUCAGAAAUGUACUCUUUGCUGGCUUUUCUUCCUUCUCUGUCUUAUUUUCACUACUCCCUCAAUUUCACAUCCUCUCAAAUAAACCACCUGCACUCAAGUCUUUGCCUCAGCUCUGCCUUUGGGGGAAUCUGAACUCAGCACUCUUGCUGAAAGUAAGCUGUGCUUUAGUCCACAGUCUUCUCUCCACCUGUUCACCGUUCCACCCUCCACCCUGUAGGGAACACUCCUAUCCAUCUUUUCAGUCCCUUGGUGAACACUUCUGUUGUUUUCCUAAGUAACCAGUAUAAAUCCUUCUUUGUCAUCCUCGUUGCACUUCCAUGUAUUGUUCCUCUUAUCUCACUGUCCUGAGAUUGUUUUCAUCUCUGCCUUCCCCUGGGAUUUCUGAAUCAGCAUCAAAGAAUCCUGGAAGUACCUAACAGGACAUGUAACUGCCCCUAAGUCAUGAGCUCCUGUUGGUAGAAACUAUAACUUGUUUGUUUUUGAAUCUCAAUACUAUUUCACACCAUAUUGGCAUAGAGGACCCAAUAGAUGAUAGUUGGACAGAAGUAAAGUCACUCUGCAGGGCAGAGGCACAAGCUCAGAGAGAAUUUAUUUCCUCCCCAUCUUUUCUCCUGGAAGUCCUCCUUCUCACAGUGUUCCUGCUCCCUGGCACUGAGCUGAGGUAUGCAACGAAACCCAUGGGACCUGUCUGUAUAAUGGAGAUGCAUACACCCUCCAGGCCUUUGCACAUAGGCUAGGUCCCUGUAGCACAUCUGGAGGACAGGGUCACUGAGGCCUGGCUUAAUUUAGCUGAGCCACUCCAGGAGGAAUAAUGGUAGCACUGAAAGUCUACUUUUCUGCCCAUUCUGUUAACAUCCUGCUGGC
This 1459-nucleotide long non-coding RNA is filed under the name Homo sapiens (human). Its description in RNAcentral is "HSALNT0219638". Lineage: Eukaryota; Metazoa; Chordata; Mammalia; Primates; Hominidae. The record is from RNAcentral.